CCCACGCCCAGGCCGAAAGUUCAAGUUGUUAUUUCUUCUUAUUGGAGGGAAAUACAAAUAGUUGUCCUCACAGUUUGGGGAGUAGUGACCCUGAUCUGUGGAGCCUUCAUCUUUGGCCAGAGCACAACCAUCGCUGUCAUGCAGCUCCUAGGAAGGAUCUGACUGUUCCACUUCCCUCGAUGAUCCAGGUGUAUUCCUGGAGAUAGUAGUGACCAGAACUGAACUUGUACUCCUCACCUAGAGAGUCCAUGCUGAAUUAUGGUCACCGUGGACUAAAAACGAACAUGACCCUCGAACAAUCAAGAGGCCCCUCAAAACUUGCAACUAUAGCCUUUUAAAAAAAACAGACUAAACCCAGUUAACGUCCCUCCUCCCUUCAGUGUCACUGUUACUUUCACAUGGGUUAUUUGUGUGUAGUUGCACCCUGAUGAUCAGCUCUGUCUGCCUCUUGCCAUUCUGAGACGAUUGAAAUCCUCAGGUAUUUCUACCCUUUGUUGUAUUGCAGUUGAUCUUCUGUUGUCACAUGUAUCAGUGCAUAAUUGUGCAUAUGGGUAUUCAACCCGCCUGUAUUCAGUCUCUAGGUAAGAUGAAGAGCUUUAAACUGAGUGAAUGAGGAAACAUAACACAACAUAAACUCCCAGAACACUGUACAAAUAUAAAGUUAAAACGGUAAUUAUUAUAUCUGCUAAGCGUGGUGCAUUACUCCAGGAGAGCUUCAUGCUGUCCUUUAGUGUAGUUUUUACAUCAUUUGCACACUUUGUAUGUUACCACGAGAAUAUGUGUUGAGUGGCAGUAUUUACAAGACUGAAAUGACAGGUUGCUUGAAGGUGCCACAAGAGGUGGAGUAGGAGGAUAUUUUCUUGUUUGUUUAUAUUUGGAGGAGUCUGUAAAUAAGUUCUAUUUUGUAUGUUUAAAAAGGAGGUGCUUUCUGAUAUUUGAUAAAUUAGUAAUGAUGUGAAAAGUAGUUAUGUUAACAGUGAAUACUGGGUCAAUGAAAAGAUAAUUGAA
This is a long non-coding RNA of Xiphias gladius (swordfish), 1008 nucleotides long. RefSeq lists it as uncharacterized. Lineage: Eukaryota; Metazoa; Chordata; Actinopteri; Istiophoriformes; Xiphiidae. The transcript has 2 exons. The record is from RefSeq and is a predicted model, not a curated record.